GAUGAACGCUGGCGGCGUGCCUAAUACAUGCAAGUCGAGCGAACGGACGAGAAGCUUGCUUCUCUGAUGUUGGCGGCGGACGGGUGAGUAACACGUGGAUAACCUACCUAUAAGACUGGGAUAACUUCGGGAAACCGGAGCUAAAACCGGAUGAUAUUUUGAACCGCAUGGUUCAAAAGUGAAAGACGGUCUUGCUGUCACUUAUAGAUGGAUCCGCGCUGCAUUAGCUAGUUGGUAAGGUAACGGCUUACCAAGGCAACGAUGCAUAGCCGACCUGAGAGGGGGGGCGGCCACAGUGGAAUGGCACCCGGGACAGGCCUCCGCGGGGCGGCGCCAGGGGGAGUUCUUCAGGAAGGGGGAAAGGUCGGACGGAGCAGCGCGGGGGGAGGGAUAAGUGUCUACGGAUCAGAAAACUUUGUUAGGAGGAAAAAACAUAUGGGUAAGGAACGUUACACUUCUGGAGGUAACCUAAUAAAAAGACCAGGCCAAACUAGGGC
This 497-nucleotide ribosomal RNA is filed under the name uncultured bacterium. RNAcentral's name for it is "partial 16S ribosomal RNA". It matches the Rfam family "Bacterial small subunit ribosomal RNA", at positions 28 to 508 of the family's 1533-position model. The record is from RNAcentral.